ACUAUGUUCUUCUUCGUGAUUCCAUUACAUCUUGAGCAAUCACAUCUCUUAUCGCUGCCAUUAACAUACCAUCAUCAUCCGUACGAUUUGUAGACGGAACUUCUUCAUGAAGUUCAUCACUAGUACCACGGGGAUUUUUUGCUCUUGGUUGACCGUUUGUGAGCAACAUCCUUAGAUUUCUUCCUUUUAUUCGAACUACUUUCGACGAAAGGAGGAAACAAAGGCUCAUCAUCACCUAAACUUUUUUCAUCACUAUCUCCUUUGCCCUCUAUAUUUUCAGUUUGAACAUCAUUUUGAAAUUGUAUCGGAGUCAUAGCAUUGUCUCCUACGGCAACCGAAUCC
RNAcentral lists this long non-coding RNA (342 nucleotides) under Helianthus annuus (common sunflower). RNAcentral describes it as "sRNA HanXRQr2_Chr02g0060111". Lineage: Eukaryota; Viridiplantae; Streptophyta; Magnoliopsida; Asterales; Asteraceae. The record is from RNAcentral.